This 1764-nucleotide ribosomal RNA is filed under the name Triticum aestivum (bread wheat). Its description in RNAcentral is "partial small subunit ribosomal RNA". The record is from RNAcentral. Lineage: Eukaryota; Viridiplantae; Streptophyta; Magnoliopsida; Poales; Poaceae.
AUGUACGGAUUUGUGUUUGUAUUUGCCUGGGUUUGGGGGAAGGCUAGGGAAGUUCAUCACAAGAUAGGAUUUCAGAAUUUUAUGGACUUUGAUUGCAAUAAGGCAGGAGAGUCUUCAGCCAAGCAUUGUUAUAGCAUUUGCAACGAGGGCACACUCAUCCAGGCAAACACCUUAACUCAUUGUGGAAAGGCUAAAAAGUGGAAUAGCCUCAACAAAUUGAACAACCCGGAGUCAAGUCAUGGAUCACUUCCAAGGGUUAAUGACCCCAAGGAAGAUGCAGAAACAGGAAAUGAUGCAACCGCCUCAGAGUGUAGCAUUAUGUGCUUCACUGAUCUGCCGUCUGCAUUGGUCUGUGAAGUCCUUGCGCGCCUUGAUCCAAAGGGGCUUGGGGUUGUAUCUUGUGUCUCCACAGUUCUGCAGACCCUAGCCACAGAUCAUCAGGGAUGGAAGAAAUUCUACUGUGAGAGGUGGGGACUUCCAAAUGCUCCUAUCGGACCCCUAGUUCCAGGUGGAACUCCAGAUGGGAGGUCAUGGAAAGCAUUGUUUGUGGAUCGGGAGUUUCAAAGUAGAUCAUUCAUGGGAAGAUUUAGUGUGGAUGUUCUCCGUGGUCACAAUGAGGAUGUACGCACUGUGUACCUUCUGGCAUCAGCAAAUCUGAUAUUCACUGGUGGCCAUGAUUCUGUGGUUCGGAUGUGGAAUAUGGAGGAAGGGCUACUAAUUGAUGAGUCCCGCCCAUUUGGUUGCACUAUCCGGGCAAUUGCAGCUGACAGUAGGCUUUUGGUAACUGGAGGAUCCAAAGCCUUCAUUCAGUGUUGGAGGGCUAUUGAGGGGGCCUCACACCUUUUCCACAUUUCUGGUAAUGGUACUAACCAGAAUUCUGAAUUUCGCCUAUGGGGGCAUGAAGGGCCUGUGACUUGUCUUUCCUUGGAUUCAACAAGGAUUUACAGUGGUUCUUGGGAUAUGACUGUUCGUGUUUGGGACAGAGCCGAGAUGAAGUGUGUGCAAAAGUUCAUGCAUGCUGACUGGGUUUUGGCCCUGGCUCCUCAUGGAAAUACUGUUGCCAGUACAGCUGGUAGAGACGCAUAUGUGUGGGAUAUCGGAAGUGGCGAGUUAACAACUAUAAUUUCCAAUGCCCAUGUUGGUAAUGCAUAUUCUGUAGCUCGAACACACCUGGCAGGUGUGCUGUUUACUGGAGGAGAGGAUGGGGCCAUUCGCUUGUUCGAUGUUUCUGAGAUAUCUGAUGAUGAGAAUAUUAAACCAGCUGCCACUUGGUUGCCGCAUUCUGGCCCUGUUCAUUCUCUUGCUUUUGAGUACCCAUGGCUUGUUUCUGCCUCUAGUGAUGGCAGGAUUGCACUAAUUGAUUUGAGGAAGAUCCUGACCCCCCUAAACUCAUCAAAGCGCCGAUUCAGGGUCAAGCCCUUUGAUCCAAGCACCGUAGAGCCUCCACAGCGAAUGCUUCAUGGCUUUGGAUGCUAUCUUUUCUCCGUCGGCAUCGGUGCAGAUAGAAUCAUAUGUGGAGGCGAGGAUGGCUCUGUCAGGGUCUGGAACUUCUCAGAAGCACUGGAGAUUGAGAAGAAGGCACAGGCUUUAAGGAGUCUGAGACAGGAGAACCGCAUGAGGCGGAGGAAGGCGCAAGUGGAGAUGAAUGCAAAUGGUAGAAGGGUUGACCAUUGCUCAGUAGCCAUGAAAAGGAACCCAUUGAAGGGUGAUAAGAGUGUCACCUGGCAAAUCAAGCGCCCCAUCAGUGACAAGGUCAAAUCCUAG